GGGUUGUGAGGUUAAGCGACUAAGCGUACACGGUGGAUGCCCUGGCAGUCAGAGGCGAUGAAGGACGUGCUAAUCUGCGAAAAGCGCCGGCGAGGUGAUAUGAACCUUUGACCCGGCGAUGUCCGAAUGGGGAAACCCAGUGUGUUCCGACACACUAUCGUUAACUGAAUACAUAGGUUAACGAGGCGAACCGGGGGAACUGAAACAUCUAAGUACCCCGAGGAAAAGAAAUCAACCGAGAUUCCCCCAGUAGCGGCGAGCGAACGGGGAGCAGCCCAGAGUCUGAAUCAGCUUGUGUGUUAGUGGAAGCGUCUGGAAAGUCGCACGGUACAGGGUGAUAGUCCCGUACACGAAAGCACACUUGCUGUGAACUCGAAGAGUAGGGCGGGACACGUGGUAUCCUGUCUGAAUAUGGGGGGACCAUCCUCCAAGGCUAAAUACUCCUGACUGACCGAUAGUGAACCAGUACCGUGAGGGAAAGGCGAAAAGAACCCCGGCGAGGGGAGUGAAAAAGAACCUGAAACCGUGUACGUACAAGCAGUGGGAGCCUCUUUUAUGGGGUGACUGCGUACCUUUUGUAUAAUGGGUCAGCGACUUAUAUUCUGUAGCAAGGUUAACCGUAUAGGGGAGCCGAAGGGAAACCGAGUCUUAACUGGGCGUUAAGUUGCAGGGUAUAGACCCGAAACCCGGUGAUCUAGCCAUGGGCAGGUUGAAGGUUGGGUAACACUAACUGGAGGACCGAACCGACUAAUGUUGAAAAAUUAGCGGAUGACUUGUGGCUGGGGGUGAAAGGCCAAUCAAACCGGGAGAUAGCUGGUUCUCCCCGAAAGCUAUUUAGGUAGCGCCUCGUGAACUCAUCUUCGGGGGUAGAGCACUGUUUCGGCUAGGGGGCCAUCCCGGCUUACCAACCCGAUGCAAACUACGAAUACCGAAGAAUGUUAUCACGGGAGACACACGGCGGGUGCUAACGUCCGUCGUGAAGAGGGAAACAACCCAGACCGCCAGCUAAGGUCCCAAAGUCAUGGUUAAGUGGGAAACGAUGUGGGAAGGCACAGACAGCCAGGAUGUUGGCUUAGAAGCAGCCAUCAUUUAAAGAAAGCGUAAUAGCUCACUGGUCGAGUCGGCCUGCGCGGAAGAUGUAACGGGGCUAAACCAUGCACCGAAGCUGCGGCAGCGACACUCAGGUGUUGUUGGGUAGGGGAGCGUUCUGUAAGCCGUUGAAGGUGGCCUGUGAGGGUUGCUGGAGGUAUCAGAAGUGCGAAUGCUGACAUAAGUAACGAUAAUGCGGGUGAAAAGCCCGCACGCCGGAAGACCAAGGGUUCCUGUCCAACGUUAAUCGGGGCAGGGUGAGUCGACCCCUAAGGCGAGGCCGAAAGGCGUAGUCGAUGGGAAACAGGUUAAUAUUCCUGUACUUGGUGUUACUGCGAAGGGGGGACGGAGAAGGCUAUGUUAGCCGGGCGACGGUUGUCCCGGUUUAAGCAUGUAGGCGGAGAGUUUAGGUAAAUCCGGACUCUUUUUAACGCUGAGGUGUGAUGACGAGGCACUACGGUGCUGAAGUAACAAAUGCCCUGCUUCCAGGAAAAGCCUCUAAGCAUCAGGUAACAUCAAAUCGUACCCCAAACCGACACAGGUGGUCAGGUAGAGAAUACCAAGGCGCUUGAGAGAACUCGGGUGAAGGAACUAGGCAAAAUGGUGCCGUAACUUCGGGAGAAGGCACGCUGAU
This 1723-nucleotide ribosomal RNA is filed under the name Mesorhizobium sp. RNAcentral's name for it is "partial 23S ribosomal RNA". It matches the Rfam family "Bacterial large subunit ribosomal RNA", at positions 1 to 1755 of the family's 2925-position model. Lineage: Bacteria; Pseudomonadati; Pseudomonadota; Alphaproteobacteria; Hyphomicrobiales; Phyllobacteriaceae. The record is from RNAcentral.